Molecule: small RNA, 546 nt
Filed under: Arabidopsis thaliana (thale cress)
Lineage: Eukaryota; Viridiplantae; Streptophyta; Magnoliopsida; Brassicales; Brassicaceae
Description: ATSL224910
Source: RNAcentral
AGCUGUUGAUGCACGAAUCACACAAGUACGAAAAUGGGAUCUCUAGGGAAGGAAGAAGAAUCUUUCUAUUAAUGACGAGCCCGCGACUUAGGCGAAUUGGACGGAUUACAAAGGAUGAUUUCUUCAACAAGCAUAAAUAGAGUAAGAACGAGCCGAUUGUAGAUGAAAGACGAGCUUGAGGCCGGAAGACGAUCUUGAUAUCCGAGGAAGAAUAGAGUUUAUUCGUUUUAUAGCUGAACCUUGUAAAAGGCUGCCUACGUACCCUUAGAAAGGGAUCAAGCCACACGUAGUUCAUAUCGCGAUAAACGAGCUAGGCCAUUACUGGAGGAAGGUCGUAUGUCGAGUUAGGCAGUUUUAGGGAUGAUCCGGCGGAUAAGUGACGAGUUGAAUAGCUUCUUGAGACGUGCGAGUAGGUUAGUUACUUUGGGCGGGCAAGUCGGCGAGACACUUCGGACGGACGAGUAAACGAGCUACUCAAGAUAGAUGGGCAAACGAGGUACUUCGGACGGGUGAGCUGACGAGCUGCUUGAGACGGGCGAUCUGAUA